CAGAAAGAUGCUCCAUCUACUACAGCGAAGUGCAGCUACAGCCUUUUGUGCUCAGUGCACUACAAUGUGAGUUCCUAAGAUUCAACUACGAUUACUCUAUGAAGAUGGGUACUGACUGAUAUGAUAUGUUCAGAAUCUGAGUGGCAGCACCCAGCGGUGAGGUUAUUGAAGGAAGCUCCUGUUCCACACACAAAUAUCCACGCUGAUGGAAUGGUUUGGUGUUUGAGAGAUGAUGGAGAUGGUUCCAGAUUGAAUUGGAUGUGUGCUACAAACCAAGUCCGGAAAGAUCACGUGGUAAUCUAUGAAACAGGAUAAAGAGUUCAUGGUGGGGAAACAUACAACAAGUGGGCAAGCAGCUUAGCCCAUCUACAUUUUCUUCGUUUCUGAGAGAACAGGAAAGGGAAGGUAGGACAGACAAAGGACUCAGAGUAUGGUAUGUUUUUCAUGAGUAACUGAAUGAGAAACUAAUAGUUUAAUAGCGUAUUGAUUGAAGUUUAUUACACUUCUUUUGGUAACUUCUUUGUUGCCAUAAAUUCAUGUGACUGUCUUCAUGCAUUAAUUCAGAGAAUGGGAAAAAGGCAAAUAGAAUAUUUUGACAGAACUUCCUCUCCCUUGCAAAAGGUAUUCUUGCUGUAUGCUUGUAUUUUUUUCUGCUUCUAUAUUUAUUGUUUAACAGAAUUCAAAAGAAAAAGAAAAAAUCUAAUUUAAUGUCAUUUGUGAUCUGUACUACUGUUCUUGAGGGUUUGUUCCAGGCUAAUUUUCUUAGCUUAAGGCUACCAAAAUAACUAUUCAUUCUACAGUACCACAUUAUGCAGAAUAUAUUGACUAAUAUUAUGGAGCAAUGAUGAUGCCAUCACAUAGCAUGUGAUAUGAGAAGCACUGAACUUGAUGAAUAGCAUUGUCUGCAAGUACUUUCUGGCUGUGUUGUAAAGGAGUUUUUGACAAAACAUAGUACGUCUUUUACAGCUAGCACUCAAUGUGAGAUAACUUGAAAGUUAACACAGAGAUCGUAGUUUCAAAUACAGUGUUAAAACCUUGCAGAAUUCAUUUAUAGGUCCAUGCAGAUAUUCUCAGUUACGGGGUCAGUAAAUCACUUGAAGAAGACUUUGCUCUGAUGAUGCAACUAAAGUUAGCCUUUAAGUCUUAUUGCUACUUACAGUUGCUAUGAGCAUACGUUUUAACUGAAUUGAGUGGGUUAAUCUUUACUAAUAUCUUUGAUACGUAUGGAGUCACUACAUUUUCUUGUUUUUUUUUUUUUCUUGAAAGAGUAAAUAUUGGCUAGAAGCGCAAUGCAUUUAGUACAAUACAAACCAUA
This 1315-nucleotide long non-coding RNA is filed under the name Numida meleagris (helmeted guineafowl). RNAcentral's name for it is "lncRNA (ENSNMEG00000013689.1)". The record is from RNAcentral. Lineage: Eukaryota; Metazoa; Chordata; Aves; Galliformes; Numididae.